UGACUCUGGGCCCCCCACUUGCCUGCAGGAGGUCAUCACACAGGACUACACCCGGCACCACCCACAGCAGCUCAGCGCACCCCUGCCCGCCCCCCUCUACUCCUUCCCUGGGGCCAGCUGCCCCGUCCUGGACCUCCGCCGCCCACCCAGUGACCUCUACCUCCCGCCCCCGGACCAUGGUGCCCCGGCCCGUGGCUCCCCCCACAGCGAAGGGGGCAAGAGGUCUCCAGAGCCAGACAAGACGUCAGUCUUGGGUGGCGGUGAGGACGGUAUUGAACCUGUGUCCCCACCGGAGGGCAUGACGGAGGCAGGGCACUCCCGGAGUGCUGUGUACCCGCUGCUGUACCGGGAUGGGGAACAGACGGAGCCCAGGAUGGGCUCCAAGUCUCCAGGCAACACCAGCCAGCCGCCAGCCUUCUUCAGCAAGCUGACCGAGAGCAACUCCGCUAUGGUCAAGUCCAAGAAGCAAGAGAUCAACAAGAAGCUGAACACCCACAACCGGAAUGAGCCUGAAUACAAUAUCGGCCAGCCUGGGACGGAGAUCUUCAAUAUGCCCGCCAUCACCGGAACAGGUGGCGGCGGGAAGGCCAAGGUCUCUGGCAGACCCAGCAGCCGAAAAGCCAAGUCCCCGGCCCCGGGCCUGGCGUCUGGGGACCGGCCACCCUCUGUCUCCUCAGUGCACUCGGAGGGAGACUGCAACCGCCGGACGCCGCUCACCAACCGCGUGUGGGAGGACAGGCCCUCGUCCGCAGGUUCCACGCCAUUCCCCUACAACCCCCUGAUCAUGCGGCUGCAGGCGGGUGUCAUGGCUUCCCCACCCCCACCGGGCCUCCCCGUGGGCAGCGGGCCCCUCGCUGGCCCCCACCACGCCUGGGACGAGGAGCCCAAGCCACUGCUCUGCUCGCAGUACGAGACACUCUCCGACAGCGAGUGACUCAGAACGGGGG
This 947-nucleotide small RNA is filed under the name Pan troglodytes (chimpanzee). Its description in RNAcentral is "retained intron". The record is from RNAcentral. Lineage: Eukaryota; Metazoa; Chordata; Mammalia; Primates; Hominidae.